AUGAUGGUAUUGGGAGAGAUUACCGACAGACUGACAGGUAGCGCCGAAGGAGUAAGCCGGAUCACGGUGAAUCUCUCAGGCAAAAGGACCUUUACCGGACG
Molecule: non-coding RNA, 101 nt
Filed under: Paenibacillus sp.
Lineage: Bacteria; Bacillati; Bacillota; Bacilli; Caryophanales; Paenibacillaceae
Description: Glycine sequence
Rfam family: Glycine riboswitch aptamer
About the family: This family represents the bacterial glycine riboswitch. Glycine riboswitches usually consist of two metabolite-binding aptamers domains with similar structures in tandem.
Source: RNAcentral